This 253-nucleotide ribosomal RNA is filed under the name uncultured prokaryote. RNAcentral describes it as "partial 16S ribosomal RNA". It matches the Rfam family "Bacterial small subunit ribosomal RNA", at positions 524 to 776 of the family's 1533-position model. The record is from RNAcentral.
UACAGAGGGUGCAAGCGUUAAUCGGAAUGACUGGGCGUAAAGGGCGCGUAGGUGGGUGAAUGAGUUUGACGUGAAAUCCCUGGGCUUAACCUAGGAAUGGCGUUGAAUACGAUUGAUCUAGAGUCGAGUAGAGGAGGGUAGAAUUUCCGGUGUAGCGGUGAAAUGCGUAGAUAUCGGAAGGAAUACCGGUGGCGAAGGCGGCCCUCUGGACUCAGACUGACACUGAGACGCGAAAGCGUGGGGAGCAAACAGG